GGGUUGUGAGGUUAAGCGACUAAGCGUACACGGUGGAUGCCUAGGCAGUCAGAGGCGAUGAAGGGCGUGCUAAUCUGCGAUAAGCGACGGCAAGGUGAUAUGAACCGCAACACCCGUCGAUACCCGAAUGGGGAAACCCAGUGCAAUCCGUUGCACUAUCAUUCACUGAAUUCAUAGGUGAAUGAGGCGAACCGGGGGAACUGAAACAUCUCAGUACCCCGAGGAAAAGAAAUCAACCGAGAUUCCCCCAGUAGCGGCGAGCGAACGGGGAGGAGCCCAGAACCCGCAUCGGCUUGUGUGUCAGUGGAAGCGCCUGGAAAGGCGCGCAGUAAAGGGUGACAGCCCCGUACACGAAGACAUAUAAGCCGGGAGUUCGAUGAGUAGGGCGGGACACGUGGUAUCCUGUCUGAACAUGGGGGGACCAUCCUCCAAGGCUAAAUACUCCUGACUGACCGAUAGUGAACCAGUACCGUGAGGGAAAGGCGAAAAGAACCCCGGCGAGGGGAGUGAAAGAGAACCUGAAACCGUGUACGUACAAGCAGUGGGAGCCUUGAUUUAUCAGGGUGACUGCGUACCUUUUGUAUAAUGGGUCAGCGACUUAUAUUCUGUAGCAAGGUUAACCGUCUAGGGGAGCCGCAGGGAAACCGAGUCUUAACGGGGCGUUAAGUUGCAGGGUAUAGACCCGAAACCCGGUGAUCUAGCCAUGGGCAGGUUGAAGGUUGGGUAACACUAACUGGAGGACCGAACCGACUAAUGUUGAAAAAUUAGCGGAUGACUUGUGGCUGGGGGUGAAAGGCCAAUCAAACCGGGAGAUAGCUGGUUCUCCCCGAAAGCUAUUUAGGUAGCGCCUCGUGAAGUCAUCUUCGGGGGUAGAGCACUGUUUCGGCUAGGGGGUCAUCCCGACUUACCAACCCGAUGCAAACUGCGAAUACCGAAGAAUGUUAUCACGGGAGACACACGGCGGGUGCUAACGUCCGUCGUGAAGAGGGAAACAACCCAGACCGCCAGCUAAGGUCCCGAAGUCAUGGUUAAGUGGGAAACGAAGUGGGAAGGCUCAGACAGCCAGGAUGUUGGCUUAGAAGCAGCCAUCAUUUAAAGAAAGCGUAAUAGCUCACUGGUCGAGUCGGCCUGCGCGGAAGAUGUAACGGGGCUAAACCAUGCACCGAAGCUGCGGCAGCGACAUGAAAGUGUUGUUGGGUAGGGGAGCGUUCUGUAAGCCGCAGAAGGUGGCCUGUGAGGGCUGCUGGAGGUAUCAGAAGUGCGAAUGCUGACAUAAGUAACGAUAAAGCGGGUGAAAAACCCGCUCGCCGGAAGACCAAGGGUUCCUGUCCAACGUUAAUCGGGGCAGGGUGAGUCGACCCCUAAGGCGAGGCCGACAGGCGUAGUCGAUGGGCAACAGGUUAAUAUUCCUGUACCCGGUGUGACUGCGAAGGGGGGACGGAGAAGGCUAGGCCAGCCGGGCGACGGUCGUCCCGGUUGAAGCGUGUAGGUGGGUGGUUUUGGAAAAUCCGGACCGCUGAUUAACACUGAGGCGUGAUAACGAGGCACUACGGUGCUGAAGUGGUUGAUGCCCUGCUUCCAGGAAAAGCCUCUAAGCAUCAGGUCACAUUGGAUCGUACCCCAAACCGACACAGGUGGUCAGGUAGAGAAUACUCAGGCGCUUGAGAGAACUCGGGUGAAGGAACUAGGCAAAAUGGUGCCGUAACUUCGGGAGAAGGCACGCUGGCGCCAGGUGAAGGAACGAGCUUCCGGAGCCGAGGCCAGUCGCAGAUACCAGCUGGCUGCAACUGUUUAAUAAAAACACAGCACUGUGCAAACACGCAAGUGGACGUAUACGGUGUGACGCCUGCCCGGUGCUGGAAGGUUAAUUGAUGGGGUUAUCGCGUUGCGAGAAGCUCUUGAUCGAAGCCCCAGUAAACGGCGGCCGUAACUAUAACGGUCCUAAGGUAGCGAAAUUCCUUGUCGGGUAAGUUCCGACCUGCACGAAUGGCGUAAUGAUGGCCAGGCUGUCUCCACCCGAGACUCAGUGAAAUUGAACUCGCUGUGAAGAUGCAGUGUACCCGCGGCAAGACGGAAAGACCCCGUGAACCUUUACUAUAGCUUGACACUGAACCUUGAGCCUUGAUGUGUAGGAUAGGUGGGAGGCCUGGAAGUGCGGACGCCAGUCUGCACGGAGCCAACCUUGAAAUACCACCCUUGAAUGUUUGAUGUUCUAACGCAGGCCCGUGAUCCGGGUUGCGGACAGUGUCUGGUGGGUAGUUUGACUGGGGCGGUCUCCUCCCAAAGCGUAACGGAGGAGCACGAAGGUUAGCUAAUCACGGUCGGACAUCGUGAGGUUAGUGCAAUGGCAUAAGCUGGCUUGACUGCGAGAGUGACAGCUCGAGCAGGUGCGAAAGCAGGUCAUAGUGAUCCGGUGGUUCUGCAUGGAAGGGCCAUCGCUCAACGGAUAAAAGGUACUCCGGGGAUAACAGGCUGAUACCGCCCAAGAGUUCAUAUCGACGGCGGUGUUUGGCACCUCGAUGUCGGCUCAUCACAUCCUGGGGCUGAAGCAGGUCCCAAGGGUACGGCUGUUCGCCGUUUAAAGUGGUACGCGAGCUGGGUUUAGAACGUCGUGAGACAGUUCGGUCCCUAUCUGCCGUGGGCGCUGGAAGAUUGAAAGGGGCUGCUCCUAGUACGAGAGGACCGGAGUGGACGCACCACUGGUGUUCGGGUUGUCAUGCCAAUGGCACUGCCCGGUAGCUACGUGCGGAAGAGAUAACCGCUGAAAGCAUCUAAGCGGGAAACUUGCCUUGAGAUGAGUCUUCCCUUGUCCUUUAAGGACACUGAAGGAACGUUCGAGACGAGGACGUGGAUAGGCCGGGUGUGUAAGCGUAGCGAUACGUUGAGCUGACCGGUACUAAUGAACCGUGCGGCUUAACCUGACAACACCGAAGGUGUUU
RNAcentral lists this ribosomal RNA (2939 nucleotides) under Xenorhabdus nematophila. RNAcentral's name for it is "bacterial LSU rRNA". It matches the Rfam family "Bacterial large subunit ribosomal RNA". Lineage: Bacteria; Pseudomonadati; Pseudomonadota; Gammaproteobacteria; Enterobacterales; Morganellaceae. The record is from RNAcentral.